UACGGAGGGAGCUAGCGUUGUUCGGAAUUACUGGGCGUAAAGCGCGCGUAGGCGGCUUUGUAAGUUAGAGGUGAAAGCCCGGGGCUCAACCCCGGAACAGCCUUUAAGACUGCAUCGCUAGAAUCCGGGAGAGGUGAGUGGAAUUCCCGGUGUAGCGGUGAAAUGCGCAGAUAUCGGGAAGAACACCUAUGGCGAAGGCAGCUCUCUGGGACGGUACUGACGCUGAGACGCGAAAGCGUGGGGAGCGAACAGG
Molecule: ribosomal RNA, 253 nt
Filed under: uncultured bacterium
Lineage: Bacteria
Description: partial 16S ribosomal RNA
Rfam family: Bacterial small subunit ribosomal RNA
Source: RNAcentral